RNAcentral lists this ribosomal RNA (253 nucleotides) under uncultured bacterium. RNAcentral's name for it is "partial 16S ribosomal RNA". It matches the Rfam family "Bacterial small subunit ribosomal RNA", at positions 524 to 776 of the family's 1533-position model. The record is from RNAcentral.
UACGUAGGGUGCGAGCGUUGUCCGGAAUUACUGGGCGUAAAGAGCUCGUAGGUGGUUUGUCGCGUUGUUCGUGAAAUCCCACGGCUUAACUGUGGGCGUGCGGGCGAUACGGGCAGACUGGAGUACUGCAGGGGAGACUGGAAUUCCUGGUGUAGCGGUGGAAUGCGCAGAUAUCAGGAGGAACACCGAUGGCGAAGGCAGCUCGCUGGGACGGUAUUGACGCUGAGACGCGAAAGCGUGGGGAGCAAACAGG